UCGAAACAUUACAUAUUGACCUGCCAGA
RNAcentral lists this non-coding RNA (28 nucleotides) under Bombyx mori (domestic silkworm). Lineage: Eukaryota; Metazoa; Arthropoda; Insecta; Lepidoptera; Bombycidae. The record is from RNAcentral.